Molecule: ribosomal RNA, 406 nt
Filed under: uncultured bacterium
Lineage: Bacteria
Description: partial 16S ribosomal RNA
Rfam family: Bacterial small subunit ribosomal RNA
Source: RNAcentral
AUUGAACGCUGGCGGCAGGCUUAACACAUGCAAGUCGAGCGAGCGGCGGACGGGUGAGUAAUGUCUGGGAAACUGCCUGAUGGAGGGGGAUAACUACUGGAAACGGUAGCUAAUACCGCAUACCAUCAGAUGUGCCCAGAUGGGAUUAGCUAGUAGGUGGGGUAAUGGCUCACCUAGGCGACGAUCCCGAGCUGGUCUGAGUGGAUGACCAGCCACACUGGCACUGAGACACGGUCCAGACUCCUACGGGAAGCACCAGUGGGAAAUAUUGCACAAUGGGCGCAUGCCUGAUGCGGCCAGGCCGCGUGUGUGAAGAGGGCCUUCGGGUUUUAAAGCACUUUCAGCGAGGAGGCGUUACUCGCAGGAGAGUCACCGGCUAACUCCGUGCCAGCAGCCGCGGUAAUAC